RNA transcript from Balaenoptera ricei (Rice's whale), 837 nucleotides. It is a transcript of the gene named cytochrome c oxidase assembly protein COX14, with no coding region annotated. Lineage: Eukaryota; Metazoa; Chordata; Mammalia; Artiodactyla; Balaenopteridae. The record is from RefSeq and is a predicted model, not a curated record. The transcript is spliced from 3 exons.
GGGGUUAUGCUGCGUCUGGCGCGCGGGGCUCUAUCUCGCGUCGGGAGCAGAAUCCUAGAGCUUUAGCGGAGCGUGGGGUGGGAGAAAGGGUGGUGUUCCGUACCAAUAGCGCCUCAGCGUUCAGGGUUGGCCCUGGGCGGUACCCUCACUCGUCUGGACCCGGGUGCUGCUUCCGGCUGCGCUAGGAGGUCGCGCAGGCAGGAGGCCUCGGUCGGAAGGGAGGGAACGGCAGCAUCCAGCAUGUGGGACCUUAGUUCCCCAACCAGGGAUCGAACCUGCACCCCCUGCAUUGGAAGGCGGAGUCUUAACAUUGGACAACCAGGGAAAUCCCCGUGAUAGCCUCUUUUUCUCCCUGAUACUGGGCUUCCCUGGUGGCGCAGUCGUUAAGAAUCCGCCUGCCAAUGCAGGGGACACGGGUUCGAGCCCUGGUCCGGGAGGAUCCCACGUGCCGCAGAGCAACUAAGCCCGUGCUCCACAACUACUGAGCCCACGUGCCUAGAGCCCGCGAGCCACAACUACUGAGCCCACGCGCUGCAUCUACUGAAGCCCACGUGCUCUAGAGCCUGUGCUUGGCAACAAGAGAAGCCUGCGCACCGCAACGAAGAGUAGCCCCCGCUCGCCUCAACUAGAGAAAACCCACGCGCAGCAAUGAGGACCCAAUGCAGCCAAAAAUAAUAAAUAAAUAAAAAUAAAUAAAUUUAUUAAAAAAAUAAAAAAUAAAUAAAAUUUGCUGAGACUAAUUUUUUGGCCUAACAUAUGGUCUUAGUUGGUGUUCCAUGUGCACUUGAAAAUAAUACGUAUCCUUCAGCUGUUGGUGUAGUGUCCUAUAUAUGUCAG